GACGAACGCUGGCGGCGUGCUUAACACAUGCAAGUCGUACGGUAAGGCCCUUUCGGGGGUACACGAGUGGCGAACGGGUGAGUAACACGUGAGUAACCUGCCCACAACUUUGGGAUAACGCUAGGAAACUGGUGCUAAUACUGGAUAUGUGCUCCUGCUGCAUGGUGGGGGUUGGAAAGCUCCGGCGGUUGUGGAUGGACUCGCGGCCUAUCAGCUUGUUGGUGGGGUAGUGGCCUACCAAGGCGGCGACGGGUAGCCGGCCUGAGAGGGUGACCGGCCACAUUGGGACUGAGAUACGGCCCAGACGCCGACGGGAGGCAGCAGUGGGGAAUAUUGCACAAGGGGCGCAAGCCGGAUGCAGCAACGCCGCGGGCGGGAUAACGGCCUUCGGGUUGUAAACCGCUUUCAGCAGGGACGAAGCUUUUUGUGACGGUACCUGCAGAAGAAGCACCGGCUAACUACGUG
Molecule: ribosomal RNA, 465 nt
Filed under: uncultured bacterium
Lineage: Bacteria
Description: partial 16S ribosomal RNA
Rfam family: Bacterial small subunit ribosomal RNA
Source: RNAcentral